GACGAACGCUGGCGGCGUGCUUAACACAUGCAAGUCGAACGGAAAGGCCCUGCUUUUGUGGGGUGCUCGAGUGGCGAACGGGUGAGUAACACGUGAGUAACCUGCCCUUGACUUUGGGAUAACUUCAGGAAACUGGGGCUAAUACCGGAUAGGAGCUCCUGCUGCAUGGUGGGGGUUGGAAAGUUUCGGCGGUUGGGGAUGGACUCGCGGCUUAUCAGCUUGUUGGUGGGGUAGUGGCUUACCAAGGCUUUGACGGGUAGCCGGCCUGAGAGGGUGACCGGCCACAUUGGGACUGAGAUACGGCCCAGACUCCUACGGGAGGCAGCAGUGGGGAAUACUGCACAAUGGGCGGAAGCCUGAUGUAGCAACGCCGCGUGCGGGAUGACGGCCUUCGGGUUGUAAACUGCUUUCGCCUGUGACGAAGCGUGAGUGACGGUAAUGGGUAAAGAAGCACCGGCUAACUACGUGCCAGCGGCCGCGGUGAUACGUAGGGUGCGAGCGUUGUCCGGAUUUAUUGGGCGUAAAGGGCUCGUAGGUGGUUGAUCGCGUCGGAAGUGUAAUCUUGGGGCUUAACCCUGAGCGUGCUUUCGAUACGGGUUGACUUGAGGAAGGUAGGGGAGAAUGGAAUUCCUGGUGGAGCGGUGGAAUGCGCAGAUAUCAGGAGGAACACCAGUGGCGAAGGCGGUUCUCUGGGCCUUUCCUGACGCUGAGGAGCGAAAGCGUGGGGAGCGAACAGGCUUAGAUACCCUGGUAGUCCACGCUGUAAACGGUGGGUACUAGGUGUGGGGUCCAUUCCACGGGUUCCGUGCCGUAGCUAACGCUUUAAGUACCCCGCCUGGGGAGUACGGCCGCAAGGCUAAAACUCAAAGGAAUUGACGGGGCCCCGCACAAGCGGCGGAGCAUGCGGAUUAAUUCGAUGCAACGCGUAGAACCUUACCUGGGUUUGACAUGGAUCGGGAGUGCUCAGAGAUGGGUGUGCCUCUUUUGGGGUCGGUUCACAGGUGGUGCAUGGCUGUCGUCAGCUCGUGUCGUGAGAUGUUGGGUUAAGUCCCGCAACGAGCGCAACCCUUGUUCACUGUUGCCAGCACGUUAUGGUGGGGACUCAGUGGAGACCGCCGGGGUCAACUCGGAGGAAGGUGGGGAUGACGUCAAGUCAUCAUGCCCCUUAUGUCCAGGGCUUCACGCAUGCUACAAUGGCUGGUACAGAGAGUGGCGAGCCUGUGAGGGUGAGCGAAUCUCGGAAAGCCGGUCUCAGUUCGGAUUGGGGUCUGCAACUCGACCUCAUGAAGUCGGAGUCGCUAGUAAUCGCAGAUCAGCAACGCUGCGGUGAAUACGUUCCCGGGGCU
This 1346-nucleotide ribosomal RNA is filed under the name uncultured bacterium. RNAcentral's name for it is "partial 16S ribosomal RNA". It matches the Rfam family "Bacterial small subunit ribosomal RNA", at positions 28 to 1381 of the family's 1533-position model. The record is from RNAcentral.